UAAUACGUAGGUGGCAAGCGUUGUCCGGAAUUAUUGGGCGUAAAGCGCGCGCAGGCGGUCUUUUAAGUCUGAUGUGAAAGCCCACGGCUCAACCGUGGAGGGUCAUUGGAAACUGGAAGACUUGAGUGCAGAAGAGGAGAGUGGAAUUCCACGUGUAGCGGUGAAAUGCGUAGAGAUGUGGAGGAACACCAGUGGCGAAGGCGACUCUCUGGUCUGUAACUGACGCUGAGGCGCGAAAGCGUGGAGAGCAAACAGGAUUAGAUACCCUGGUAGUCCACGCCGUAAACGAUGAGUGCUAAGUGUUAGAGGGUUUCCGCCCUUUAGUGCUGCAGCUAACGCAUUAAGCACUCCGCCUGGGGAGUACGACCGCAAGGUUGAA
Molecule: ribosomal RNA, 379 nt
Filed under: uncultured bacterium
Lineage: Bacteria
Description: bacterial SSU rRNA
Rfam family: Bacterial small subunit ribosomal RNA
Source: RNAcentral